This 456-nucleotide ribosomal RNA is filed under the name uncultured bacterium. RNAcentral describes it as "bacterial SSU rRNA". It matches the Rfam family "Bacterial small subunit ribosomal RNA", at positions 37 to 507 of the family's 1533-position model. The record is from RNAcentral.
UGGCGGCGUGCUUAACACAUGCAAGUCGAACGGUGACCAGGGCUUGCCCUGGUGAUCAGUGGCGAACGGGUGAGUAACACGUGGGCAACCUGCCCCUGACUUCGGGAUAACUCCUCGAAAGAGGAGCUAAUACCGGAUACGACCACUUCGGACAUCCGAUGGUGGUGGAAAGUUUUUCGGUCAGGGAUGGGCCCGCGGCCUAUCAGCUAGUUGGUGGGGUAAUGGCCUACCAAGGCGACGACGGGUAGCCGGCCUGAGAGGGCGACCGGCCACACUGGGACUGAGACACGGCCCAGACUCCUACGGGAGGCAGCAGUGGGGAAUAUUGCGCAAUGGGCGAAAGCCUGACGCAGCGACGCCGCGUGAGGGAUGAAGGCCUUCGGGUUGUAAACCUCUUUCAGCAGGGACGAAGCGAAAGUGACGGUACCUGCAGAAGAAGCACCGGCUAACUACGUG